GACGAACGCUGGCGGCGUGCUUAACACAUGCAAGUCGUACGGUAAGGCCCUUUCGGGGGUACACGAGUGGCGAACGGGUGAGUAACACGUGAGUAACCUGCCCACAACUUUGGGAUAACGCUAGGAAACUGGUGCUAAUACUGGAUAUGUGCUCCUGCUGCAUGGUGGGGGUUGGAAAGCUCCGGCGGUUGUGGAUGGACUCGCGGCCUAUCAGCUUGUUGGUGGGGUAGUGGCCUACCAAGGUGGCGACGGGUAGCCGGCCUGAGAGGGUGACCGGCCACAUUGGGACUGAGAUACGGCCCAGACUCCUACGGGAGGCAGCAGUGGGGAAUAUUGCACAAUGGGCGCAAGCCUGAUGCAGCAACGCCGCGUGCGGGAUGACGGCCUUCGGGUUGUAAACCGCUUUCAGCAGGGACGAAGCUUUUUGUGACGGUACCUGCAGAAGAAGCACCGGCUAACUACGUG
Molecule: ribosomal RNA, 465 nt
Filed under: uncultured bacterium
Lineage: Bacteria
Description: partial 16S ribosomal RNA
Rfam family: Bacterial small subunit ribosomal RNA
Source: RNAcentral